Molecule: non-coding RNA, 106 nt
Organism: Acanthosepion pharaonis
Lineage: Eukaryota; Metazoa; Mollusca; Cephalopoda; Sepiida; Sepiidae
Source: the annotation of a GenBank genome assembly
UUACGGCCACAUCACGUUGAAACACCGAUGAUCACCGAAGUUAAACAACGUUGAGCUUGGUCAGUACCUAGAUGGGUGACCGCUUGGGAAUACCAGGUACCGUAAG